This 459-nucleotide ribosomal RNA is filed under the name uncultured bacterium. Its description in RNAcentral is "SSU rRNA". It matches the Rfam family "Bacterial small subunit ribosomal RNA", at positions 26 to 518 of the family's 1533-position model. The record is from RNAcentral.
AGAACGAACGCUGGCGGCAGGCCUAACACAUGCAAGUCGAACGCCGUAGCAAUACGGAGUGGCAGACGGGUGAGUAACGCGUGGGAACAUACCCCUCGGUUCGGAAUAACUCAGGGAAACUUGAGCUAAUACCGGAUACGUCCGAGGUUUUAAUCGACCUUGGAGAAAGAUUUAUCGCCGGAGGAUUGGCCCGCGUCUGAUUAGCUUGUUGGUGAGGUAAUGGCUCACCAAGGCGACGAUCAGUAGCUGGUCUGAGAGGAUGAUCAGCCACAUUGGGACUGAGACACGGCCCAAACUCCUACGGGAGGCAGCAGUGGGGAAUAUUGGACAAUGGGCGAAAGCCUGAUCCAGCCAUGCCGCGUGAGUGAUGAAGGCCUUAGGGUUGUAAAGCUCUUUUGCCCGGGAAGAUAAUGACGGUACCGGGAGAAUAAGCCCGGCUAACUUCGCGCCAGCAGCCGC